Molecule: ribosomal RNA, 432 nt
Filed under: uncultured bacterium
Lineage: Bacteria
Description: partial 16S ribosomal RNA
Rfam family: Bacterial small subunit ribosomal RNA
Source: RNAcentral
AACGAACGCUGGCGGCAUGCCUAACACAUGCAAGUCGAACGAGACCUUCGGGUCUAGUGGCGCACGGGUGCGUAACGCGUGGGAAUCUGCCCUUGGGUUCGGAAUAACAGUUGGAAACGACUGCUAAUACCGGAUGAUGACGUAAGUCCAAAGAUUUAUCGCCCAGGGAUGAGCCCGCGUAGGAUUAGCUAGUUGGUGGGGUAAAGGCCUACCAAGGCGACGAUCCUUAGCUGGUCUGAGAGGAUGAUCAGCCACACUGGGACUGAGACAAGGCCCAGACGCCUACGGGAGGCAGCAGUGGGGAAUAUUGGACAAUGGGCGAAAGCCUGAUACAGCAAGGCCGCGUGAGUGAUGAAGGCCUUAGGGUUGUAAAGCUCUUUUACCCGGGAUGAUAAUGACAGUACCGGGAGAAUAAGCCCCGGCUAACUCCGU